UAAAAUUUUUUCCAAUUUUGCAAGUGUCUCUAACAUUGUUCAAUCUUUACAACCGGACAACAAGAAUUUAAAAGCGUUGUGAAAUUCAGUGAAAAGUUUGACAAAUUGAUUGAUUUCUUAAAAUACCGAUUGUAUUGUAUCUAAAUGUUAGUUCUAGUAAAAAACUAAGUUGAAUUAUCAGUAAAAUAUGAAAAAAACACCAA
This 203-nucleotide long non-coding RNA is filed under the name Mytilus galloprovincialis (Mediterranean mussel). Lineage: Eukaryota; Metazoa; Mollusca; Bivalvia; Mytilida; Mytilidae. The record is from RNAcentral.